This 783-nucleotide ribosomal RNA is filed under the name uncultured bacterium. RNAcentral's name for it is "bacterial SSU rRNA". It matches the Rfam family "Bacterial small subunit ribosomal RNA", at positions 58 to 841 of the family's 1533-position model. The record is from RNAcentral.
CAGUCGAACGAAGCUUGACGAAUGAUUUCUUCGGAAUGAAAUCUGAUAUGACUGCCUUGAGGACGGGUGAGUAACGCGUGAGCAACCUGCCCUUCGGAACGGGAUAGUGUCUGGAAACGGACAGUAAUACCGUAUAACGUAUUUUUACCGCAUGAUAGAAAUACCAAAACUGAGGUGCCGAAGGAUGGGCUCGCGUCUGAUUAGAUAGUUGGUGGGGUAACGGCCUACCAAGUCGACGAUCAGUAGCCGGACUGAGAGGUUGAACGGCCACAUUGGGACUGAGACACGGCCCAGACUCCUACGGGAGGCAGCAGUGGGGAAUAUUGCACAAUGGGGGAAACCCUGAUGCAGCAACGCCGCGUGAAGGAAGACGGUUUUCGGAUUGUAAACUUCUGUUCUUAGUGAAGAAUAAUGACGGUAGCUAAGGAGCAAGCCACGGCUAACUACGUGCCAGCAGCCGCGGUAAUACGUAGGUGGCAAGCGUUGUCCGGAAUUACUGGGUGUAAAGGGAGCGUAGGCGGGAUGCCAAGUCAGCUGUGAAAACUAUGGGCUUAACCUGUAGACUGCAGUUGAAACUGGUAUUCUUGAGUGAAGUAGAGGUUGGCGGAAUUCCGAGUGUAGCGGUGAAAUGCGUAGAUAUUCGGAGGAACACCGGUGGCGAAGGCGGCCAACUGGGCUUUAACUGACGCUGAGGCUCGAAAGUGUGGGGAGCAAACAGGAUUAGAUACCCUGGUAGUCCACACUGUAAACGAUGAUAACUAGGUGUGGGGGGUCUGACCCCUU